Molecule: long non-coding RNA, 212 nt
Filed under: Elaeis guineensis (African oil palm)
Lineage: Eukaryota; Viridiplantae; Streptophyta; Magnoliopsida; Arecales; Arecaceae
Description: long non-coding RNA (EGUI_LNC009430)
Source: RNAcentral
GGCCCAUUUGGGCCUUGGACCAGGCCCAAAAUCUCAAAAGCCCAAUGAAAAAAAAAGAGAGAAAAAUUGAAGAAGACUUCCGUAGGGAGUCUUCUUCUUCCUUCGACCAACUCCUAAAUGGGGUCGGAAACCUUGCCAGGGAGGAGUCAAACUCCUCUCUCCGGCUCUAUUUAAGGGAGAGAUCCUUCUCCCUCCUUCCCACCAAAGAAUCU